This 1486-nucleotide ribosomal RNA is filed under the name Campylobacter jejuni. RNAcentral describes it as "partial 23S ribosomal RNA". It matches the Rfam family "Bacterial large subunit ribosomal RNA", at positions 1 to 1515 of the family's 2925-position model. Lineage: Bacteria; Pseudomonadati; Campylobacterota; Epsilonproteobacteria; Campylobacterales; Campylobacteraceae. The record is from RNAcentral.
AGGUAAGCUACUAAGAGCGAAUGGUGGAUGCCUUGACUGGUAAAGGCGAUGAAGGACGUACUAGACUGCGAUAAGCUACGGGGAGCUGUCAAGAAGCUUUGAUCCGUAGAUUUCCGAAUGGGGCAACCCAAUGUAUAGAGAUAUACAUUACCUAUAUAGGAGCGAACGAGGGGAAUUGAAACAUCUUAGUACCCUCAGGAAAAGAAAUCAAUAGAGAUUGCGUCAGUAGCGGCGAGCGAAAGCGCAAGAGGGCAAACCCAGUGCUUGCACUGGGGGUUGUAGGACUGCAAUGUGCAAGAGCUGAGUUUAGCAGAACAUUCUGGAAAGUAUAGCCAUAGAGGGUGAUAGUCCCGUAUGCGAAAAACAAAGCUUAGCUAGCAGUAUCCUGAGUAGGGCGGGACACGAGGAAUCCUGUCUGAAUCCGGGUCGACCACGAUCCAACCCUAAAUACUAAUACCAGAUCGAUAGUGCACAAGUACCGUGAGGGAAAGGUGAAAAGAACUGAGGUGAUCAGAGUGAAAUAGAACCUGAAACCAUUUGCUUACAAUCAUUCAGAGCACUAUGUAGCAAUACAGUGUGAUGGACUGCCUUUUGCAUAAUGAGCCUGCGAGUUGUGGUGUCUGGCAAGGUUAAGCAAACGCGAAGCCGUAGCGAAAGCGAGUCUGAAUAGGGCGCUUAGUCAGAUGCUGCAGACCCGAAACGAAGUGAUCUAUCCAUGAGCAAGUUGAAGCUAGUGUAAGAACUAGUGGAGGACUGAACCCAUAGGCGUUGAAAAGCCCCGGGAUGACUUGUGGAUAGGGGUGAAAGGCCAAUCAAACUUCGUGAUAGCUGGUUCUCUCCGAAAUAUAUUUAGGUAUAGCGUUGUGUCGUAAUAUAAGGGGGUAGAGCACUGAAUGGGCUAGGGCAUACACCAAUGUACCAAACCCUAUCAAACUCCGAAUACCUUAUAUGUAAUCACAGCAGUCAGGCGGCGAGUGAUAAAAUCCGUCGUCAAGAGGGAAACAACCCAGACUACCAGCUAAGGUCCCUAAAUCUUACUUAAGUGGAAAACGAUGUGAAGUUACUUAAACAACCAGGAGGUUGGCUUAGAAGCAGCCAUCCUUUAAAGAAAGCGUAAUAGCUCACUGGUCUAGUGAUUUUGCGCGGAAAAUAUAACGGGGCUAAAGUAAGUACCGAAGCUGUAGACUUAGUUUACUAAGUGGUAGGAGAGCGUUCUAUUUGCGUCGAAGGUAUACCGGUAAGGAGUGCUGGAGCGAAUAGAAGUGAGCAUGCAGGCAUGAGUAGCGAUAAUUAAUGUGAGAAUCAUUAACGCCGUAAACCCAAGGUUUCCUACGCGAUGCUCGUCAUCGUAGGGUUAGUCGGGUCCUAAGUCGAGUCCGAAAGGGGUAGACGAUGGCAAAUUGGUUAAUAUUCCAAUACCAACAUUAGUGUGCGAUGGAAGGACGCUUAGGGCUAAGGGGGCUAGCGGAUGGAAGUGCUAGUCUAA